Molecule: long non-coding RNA, 443 nt
Organism: Pan troglodytes (chimpanzee)
Lineage: Eukaryota; Metazoa; Chordata; Mammalia; Primates; Hominidae
Exons: 4
Source: RefSeq, a predicted model, not a curated record
GACCUGCGCCAUGUUGCCUGUUUCUUUACAUGUGCUGACGAAGAAAAGGGAAGAUGAAGCGUCCAUGUUGAACAUGCCUGGCCCUCAGGUGCAUGGUGCAAGCUGUUGGUGGAUCUACCAUUCAGGAGUCUGGAGGAUGGUGGCCUUCUUCUCAGAGCUCCACUAGACGGUGCCCCAAUGGAGCCUUGUCCUAUCGCCCAGGCUGGAGUGCAAUGGCGCGAUCUCGGCUCACUGCAACCUCCGCCUCCCGGGUUCAAGGAAUUCUCCUUCCUCAGCCUCCCGAGUACCUGGGAUUACAGGUCUUCGAGCUCCAUGUCAUCUAACCCACUGAACAAACGUGAACGUAUCGCUUCUAGAGGCCGUCUAACAACUCAGUUUCCAAAAGUCAACUCCGGAAGACAUGUAUUUUCUAUGAUUUCUUUUAAACAAAUGAGAAUUUACAA